Molecule: transfer RNA, 73 nt
Filed under: Allofournierella massiliensis
Lineage: Bacteria; Bacillati; Bacillota; Clostridia; Eubacteriales; Oscillospiraceae
Also listed under: 2 other names
Description: Fournierella massiliensis tRNA-Ala
Rfam family: tRNA
About the family: Transfer RNA (tRNA) molecules are approximately 80 nucleotides in length. Their secondary structure includes four short double-helical elements and three loops (D, anti-codon, and T loops).
Source: RNAcentral
GGGCCUGUAGCUCAGUUGGGAGAGCGCUGCGUUCGCAUCGCAGAGGUCAAGGGUUCGAAUCCCUCCAGGUCCA